Molecule: ribosomal RNA, 253 nt
Filed under: uncultured bacterium
Lineage: Bacteria
Description: partial 16S ribosomal RNA
Rfam family: Bacterial small subunit ribosomal RNA
Source: RNAcentral
UACAGAGGUGGCAAGCGUUGUUCGGAAUUACUGGGCGUAAAGGGCGCGUAGGCGGCCAUCUAAGUCAGACGUGAAAUCCCCCGGCUUAACCUGGGAACUGCGUCUGAUACUGGGAGGCUUGAGUAUGGGAGAGGGAUGUAGAAUUCCAGGUGUAGCGGUGAAAUGCGUAGAUAUCAGGAGGAACACCGGUGGCGAAGGCGGCUACCUGGACAGAAACUGACGCUGAGGCGCGAAAGCUAGGGGAGCAAACAGG